GGAUAUAACUCAGUUGGUAGAGUGCUUGCCUCACAGGCACAAGGCCCUGGGUUCACUUCCCAGGACCA
Molecule: transfer RNA, 68 nt
Filed under: Marmota monax (woodchuck)
Lineage: Eukaryota; Metazoa; Chordata; Mammalia; Rodentia; Sciuridae
Description: tRNA.Val
Rfam family: tRNA (bases 6-63)
About the family: Transfer RNA (tRNA) molecules are approximately 80 nucleotides in length. Their secondary structure includes four short double-helical elements and three loops (D, anti-codon, and T loops).
Source: RNAcentral